UGGAAUUCUACUGUGGAAAGUUUGUGAUUACAAUGCUAGAUUUGAGCAUGAUGCACGUGAAACAUCAAGUUCAUUAUUUCUCACGCGAUUUGGAUGAUGAGAAAGAUGGUUAGCAUGACAAUCAUCAUGCAUUAGGAUGUCAAUAACUUUAGGCAUUACUGGAGAGUUAUAAGGUCGAGCAGUCGAGGCAGAUCAGCAGGCCGUGUAUCCUGAUAGCUUGAGCAGAAUUAUAGCUUGUGUAAUAGUUUGGAAUACAAAAGUUUGAGAGAUUGGAAGAGACCAAAAACAUCGGUAUAUUUUCUCUGAACAUGCUGCCUAGUUAUGUUGCUGCCGAAACUAUGGUUUUCGUGUCCUCAAAUCGCAUUAAUACAAAACAGAGUUACGUGGCGUUUCAGCACACCUUUACGUAAAGAGGUCAUCGGUAAGGCGCCUAUCCAUUGUUAAGCCUACAUAAUUUUAAAGGAACCCAUGUCAAGACAAAGCCAAGAGUACAUGUUUGUUAUAUUUGCGAGACUGCUGUAAGAGAAAAAUGUUUUGUAAGACCUGUUUGGAUCAUAGUCUCUAAAACAAAUUGUCUAAAUUUUACGUGAAAAUUUUAUUUGAAGGAUGAAUAUGUAUUUGGUUCUUACGACUUGAGAAUUGUUCGAAAUGAAUAGAGGGAUUGGUGAAAUAAUUGUUGUAUUGCUUGAGUCUCAUGGCAUAUAUAUAGGAGUACAUGAUCAUCUUAAAGUUUUGGGGAUCGUAGUAAUAAUUCAAAAAAAUUCCUACGUCACACCAAGAUCUAACUAGGACAAACCAGCAAUGAGAGAGGUAGAGCAUCUUCAUACCGUUGAAGAUCGCAAAGCAGGAGCGUUACUAUGAACGCGGUUGGUGGAGUCGUACUCGCGGUGAUCCGAUCAAACACCGAACGUUCGGUCUCUCCGCGUUCAACACACCUACAACCCCGGGUAGUCUCCUCCUUGUUGAUCUAGCAAGGAGGGAGGAGAAGUUGAGGGAGAACUCCGACAGCACGACGGCUUGGUGGCGAUGGAGUUUGUGGCUCUCCGGCAGGGCUUCGCCAAGCACCACAGAGGAGUAGAUGUGGAGAGGUAGGGCUGCACCAAGGGAG
RNAcentral lists this long non-coding RNA (1108 nucleotides) under Hordeum vulgare. RNAcentral's name for it is "long non-coding RNA (HVUL_LNC003331)". Lineage: Eukaryota; Viridiplantae; Streptophyta; Magnoliopsida; Poales; Poaceae. The record is from RNAcentral.